Long non-coding RNA from Alosa sapidissima (American shad), 109 nucleotides. RefSeq lists it as uncharacterized. Lineage: Eukaryota; Metazoa; Chordata; Actinopteri; Clupeiformes; Clupeidae. The transcript is spliced from 3 exons. The record is from RefSeq and is a predicted model, not a curated record.
GGAAAUAGCACCUCUGUAGCUGGGUAAGAUUGAACGCAACAACCAAUUAAAAUCGUUCACAUGAUUCUUCCGAGUGUUUCGUUGUACACACACAUCUUUAGCGUACAUG